UACGUAGGGACCAAGCGUUGUUCGGAUUUACUGGGCGUAAAGGGCGCGUAGGCGGCGCGGUAAGUCACUUGUGAAAUCUCUGAGCUUAACUCAGAACGGCCAAGUGAUACUGCAGUGCUAGAGUGUGGAAGGGGCAAUCGGAAUUCUUGGUGUAGCGGUGAAAUGCGUAGAUAUCAAGAGGAACACCUGAGGUGAAGACGGGUUGCUGGGCUGACACUGACGCUGAGGCGCGAAAGCUAGGGGAGCAAACGGG
RNAcentral lists this ribosomal RNA (253 nucleotides) under uncultured bacterium. Its description in RNAcentral is "partial 16S ribosomal RNA". It matches the Rfam family "Bacterial small subunit ribosomal RNA", at positions 524 to 776 of the family's 1533-position model. The record is from RNAcentral.